RNAcentral lists this ribosomal RNA (192 nucleotides) under uncultured Acidobacteriaceae bacterium. RNAcentral's name for it is "partial 16S ribosomal RNA". It matches the Rfam family "Bacterial small subunit ribosomal RNA", at positions 1192 to 1382 of the family's 1533-position model. Lineage: Bacteria; Pseudomonadati; Acidobacteriota; Terriglobia; Terriglobales; Acidobacteriaceae. The record is from RNAcentral.
CUCAUGGCCCUUAUGUCCGGGGCUGCACACGUCCUACAAUGGUCGGUACAAAGGGAAGCAAGACCGCGAGGUGGAGCAAAUCCCAGAAAGCCGGCCCCAGUUCAGAUUGCAGGCUGAAACCCGCCUGCAUGAAGUUGGAAUCGCUAGUAAUCGCGUAUCAGCUAUGACGCGGUGAAUAUGUUCCCGAGCCUU